Molecule: RNase P RNA, 385 nt
Filed under: Sphingobacteriales bacterium
Lineage: Bacteria; Pseudomonadati; Bacteroidota; Sphingobacteriia; Sphingobacteriales
Description: RNase P RNA component class A
Rfam family: Bacterial RNase P class A
About the family: Ribonuclease P (RNase P) is a ubiquitous endoribonuclease, found in archaea, bacteria and eukarya as well as chloroplasts and mitochondria.
Source: RNAcentral
UCUAUCAGCCAGGCUAUCGCUUCAGGUAACUGAAGAGGAAAGUCCGGACAGCAAAGGGCAACACACCGGUGAAUAGCCGGCUGGCUUAACCGAUAGCAAUAUUAGUUUGGCCAAGAGAAAGUGCCACAGAAAAUAACUGCCUGUUGCUCCUUCCGGGAAAAACAGGUGAGGGUGAAAAGGUGAGGUAAGAGCUCACGGUUGGUAUAAGUAAUUAUACUUUCGGGUAAACCUUGUGUGCUGUAAUGCCAUGUAUACCAGUGUUUGAGGGCGGCUCGCCCGAGCUGGAGGGUAGGCAGCAAGAUCGUAACAGUAAUGUUGCGGCCAGAUAAAUGAUAGUCGCUCAAUUUAUUGAGAACAAAAUCCGGCUUAUCGGCUGAUAGUUUUU